GUUGAGAUUUGGACACUUUAAGAGUUUGAAAGAUUGUUGAGACAGCCAGAUAGAGGUGGAUAGUAAGAAGUUAGAAAUAAAAGCUUUGAAAUAUAGGAAAGAGGGUUGAACUAGAAAACAGGUUGGUAAGUUAGCAGCCUAUCAAUGAUAUCACUGUGAGAGAAAAGAAGAAAACAAAGGGUAGAAUCUUGGAGAACAUCUUCACUAGAACUUUGCUACUUGAAGUGUGGUCAGUGGCCUAGCAGUACUGGCAUGACCAGGGGGUUUGUUGGAAAGGUACAAUCUCAGUCCCCCUCAUCCCCAACUCGUGCUAAAUCAGCAUCCUUAACAAGAACCCCAAGUGAUCUGUAUCACAUUACAGUUUGAGAAACUGUGACCUAGCUGGAUUAUGCAGAUGACUACCAGCCCCUGGGGGUGACAGAGCCACAAGAAAGAAGGUGCCUGGAAGAAGGAGAGCUGCCCACUGACCAGGAACACCCACUGCCAAUUAUCAUCUAUAGAUUCACAAGAAUCAAGACUAAGCAGCUAAGCAGCCUGGAUUGAAGCAUUACUAGCAUCGCCAGGCAGCGCUUCUGUUGCCAUAGCAACUACGUACUGGCCAAAUGGCAGGUAACAUGAGGACCAACUGCUAUGACUGCUCUUUUCACACCAGAAUUGACGGCUGAACUACUGUGCACUGAUUAACACAUUUCAAGAGAAAAUAAGGUUAAUAUUUCUGAUCUACCUAAAGAAUAGACUGACUUUCAGAACUCCUUUUCUGGAAUCCAGGGAAAAGAUCUGUUUGGUAAUGUUAAUCUUGGCAUUAAGACAGUAGUGAGAGCAGAGCCCACUUGAGACUGACACUAAGAAGAACCAACCUUGUGGAAGAAGGCUGCACGGAAGCUCCCAUAGCUGAUGGAACCCCACGAAUUGUAGGAGGCUCAUCAUUCCCUCAAACCAAUCCAGACUGGCUGCUACACAGGUAAUUUCAGAAGUACUGAUAUAAAGGAAGUAAAAGGAAACUCUAUCAUGUUCUAGCCCUGGGAAUGGCAGAAAGAAAGAAAGAGAUGAAGAAGAAGAAAGAAAAAGAGAAGAAAAAACAGAAAGAGACAUCAUAUAGACUCCUUGGCGUCAAGUGAUGUGGAUCCUGAGAACCAAUGACCGUUUCCCCACGAUGACUGACCCCAAAAGUGAAGAAGAGGACAGGCCACUGGGCUAGCAAGAUAGAUGGGGACCUAGUAGCUUCAAUGGGGAUUCAUAAUGCCAGAGGAGGUGAGAUGAAGCCAAAGCACCUCCAUGCUCUAAACUGGAAGUGAGACCAGACUACAAGUUUAUGCCAACUCGGGGCUUCAUCAUUGGGACCCAGCAAAGAAAAGCAGACAAGAGAGAGCACAUUCCAGCCAGUCACACACAAGGACCAACUGAAAUUCAGGUGAUCCUUUUCUCUUCAACUCCACAUGAUGCAAUAAAAGCUGUAUACCUGACCAUCGCAUACACUGGACUGAAUAUUCUUAUUCAAGAGAGCUGAGAGUUACUUACAGGAAAUGGUUAAAUUACCAGAGUAAGGUUUGAACAGAUUGGACAUUUACUUUGUUCCUAGACUUCCAGCAAUUAUCGUGAUGUGGAUUGGGCAGGGUGAGAGGGGUGGUGGUGUCAUAAAGAACACAGGUCUGCUGUAGACUAAAUAAAUUUUCUCUGCUCACCUGCAUUGUAUUACAAGUGAA
This is a long non-coding RNA of Panthera uncia (snow leopard), 1703 nucleotides long. RefSeq lists it as uncharacterized. The transcript is spliced from 7 exons. The record is from RefSeq and is a predicted model, not a curated record. NCBI's taxonomy places the organism in Eukaryota, Metazoa, Chordata, Mammalia, Carnivora, Felidae.